AUUGGUCAAUUGGUGAAAGCCUGAACCAGCCAUGCCGCGUUCAGGUCGACGGCCUUCUGGGUUGUAAACUUCUUUUGUCAGGGAAUAAAACGCUCAUGCGUGGGAGGUUUAAGGUACCUGACGAAUAAGCCACGGCUAACUACGUUCCAGCAGCCGCGGUAAUACGUAGGUGGCGAGCGUUGUCCGGAUUUAUUGGGUUUAAGGGGUGCGUAGGCGGCCUUGUAAGUCAGUUCUGAAAUAUCCCGGCUUAACCGGGAGGGUGGGAUUGAUACUGCUUGGCUUGAGUGGAGUCGAGGUAGGCGGAAUUGACGGUGUAGCGGUGAAAUGCUUAGAUAUCGUCAAGAACACCGAUAGCGUAGGCAGCCCCCUGGGAUAAUACUGACGCUCAGACACGAAAGCGUGGGGAGCAAACAGG
This 415-nucleotide ribosomal RNA is filed under the name uncultured bacterium. RNAcentral describes it as "partial 16S ribosomal RNA". It matches the Rfam family "Bacterial small subunit ribosomal RNA", at positions 363 to 776 of the family's 1533-position model. The record is from RNAcentral.